Molecule: RNA transcript, 1853 nt
Organism: Nycticebus coucang (slow loris)
Lineage: Eukaryota; Metazoa; Chordata; Mammalia; Primates; Lorisidae
Gene name: Bardet-Biedl syndrome 4 protein-like
Exons: 2
Source: RefSeq, a predicted model, not a curated record
AUGAGGACUGACCAGAAACAGGAGGCUCCAUGGAGUCUCUUGAGUGUUGCACAAGGGCAGAUUCCUGUGCAUGCUUCUGAGAUCAGUGUCUGUCAUCCACAUCUGUUUCCCUCUGCACAUCUGUGUUGCAGGUUCUCACCAGAAAAUACAGAGCUUCUUACAACUCUAGGAUUACUCUACUUACAGCUUGGCAUUUACCAGAAGGCAUUUGAACAUCUUGGGAAUGCACUGACUUAUGACCCUACCAACUAUAAGGCCAUCUUGGCAGCAGGCAGCAUGAUGCAGACCCACGGGGACUUUGAUGUUGCCCUCACCAAAUACAGAGUUGUAGCUUGUGCUGUUCCAGAAAGUCCCCCACUGUGGAAUAAUAUUGGAAUGUGUUUCUUUGGCAAGAAGAAAUAUGUGGCAGCUAUCAGCUACCUGAAACGAGCCAACUACUUGGCACCCUUCGACUGGAAGAUUCUGUACAAUUUGGGCCUCGUCCAUCUGACCAUGCAGCAGUAUGCAUCAGCUUUUCAUUUUCUCAGUGCAGCCAUCAACUUCCAGCCAAAGAUGGGGGAGCUUUACAUGCUCUUAGCUGUGGCUCUGACAAACCUAGAAGAUGUAGAGAAUGCCAAGAGGGCCUACACAGAAGUAGUCCGCCUGGAUAAGGUGAAAAGGGUGCCCUGGCCCAGUAUCAGGAGAUGGAGAAGAAAGUCAGCCUGCUUAAGGACAGUAGCUCUCUGGAACUUGACUCUGAGAUGGUGGAGAUGGCUCAGAAAUUGGGAGCUGCACUUCAGGUUGGGGAGGCGCUCAUCUGGACUAAACCAGUUAAAGAUUGCAAAUCAAAGCACCGGACUACUUCAACCAGCAAACCUACCAGCAUCCAGCAGCCUCUGGGCUCUAAUCAGACUCUAGGACAGGCAAUGUCUUCAGCAGCUGCAUACAGGAAGCUCUCCUCAGGUGUCGGAGGAACGUCCCAGCUCUCAAAGCCACCAUCUCUUCCUCUGGAGCCCAGAGCCUGUUGUGGAAGCAAGUCCAGCUGAAACAUCAGAACAAAUAAGAGAAAAAUAAGAGUAGGCUGACCCCAGAGUAGGGGUUUCUUGGAUGAAGAUGUUCCAGACUGGGGAAGGUCACAUGACAUAGAGCGGAGGACACCACUGUCACCACUAUUCCCUGGCAGGCACCACAGAAUUAAAACACAGACUGCUGAGUGUGUUGCGAUGGUCACGAGAAGCCCAAGGUGCUUCCUACCUACCUGGUAGUAGCGUUUGAGGUAGCAGCCCCUCUAUUAGACCCAUAAGCCAGGAAAUAGGGAGAAGUCAGCAUGGACCAUUCCUUUCAGAAGUGGGAGCGAGGCUUUUGAGGCUCUGUGUAGGUAACUGCAAGUCAGCAAGGCAUAUGAUGCUGUUUCCUUUGAAAGGAAACUUUUAUCUCCUGGCUGACUGACACCUUCCUUUGAGCAAGAAAAGACAGAAAGACCUCUGCUCAGUAGCCCUGUGAUGGCGAAGGCUUGGCUUGACUGGGAUAGUCCCCAAGGCAAACACAAAUCUUGAAAAAAGGCUAAGUUGAGGCCCAGCCUGGUGUGUAUUCAGCUACAUUUGCCCAAAGGGAAUCCAGAACAAGCCCUGAAUUUUGUUCUUGAGAGAGGUCAGAGUCUAGAAGCCAGAUCAUGUGAGUAUGAGAAGAAGUAGGAGCCGAGGGCUGGUCUAGUAUCAGCACCAAGAUCUAAAAUAAAGGGAAGAGCUCUUUAGCCGAAUAAGACAAUGAGUGAUAACCACCGACCAGAUGGUAUUAACGCAUUAUCUGAAUGUCUUUUUAAGAAUAAAGAUUAUGUAUUAUCAUUCUUAUGGGGAAAGUUGUUAUUCAGGUAU